AAAAAAAAUGGAGCCAAUAGUGUUAGAAGAGCAAGUGUAUGCCAAACCAAUGGUGAAUAAUUAAUUGAGGAGAUGAUGUAUGUCAAAAGUAUCACACAACAGCAAGUCCAGCACGCCAGACCGAAAGAUCUUAAAAUGCAUGCUUCGCUUAUAGUAAAACUGAACUUCUUGAUUAAUUGGGUUUAAAAGAAAAAAAUAAUUCAAACCCUUUUCUUAAGGUUCACUUCAUUUGAUGUAUCAAUG
RNAcentral lists this unclassified non-coding RNA (243 nucleotides) under Hevea brasiliensis (rubber tree). Lineage: Eukaryota; Viridiplantae; Streptophyta; Magnoliopsida; Malpighiales; Euphorbiaceae. The record is from RNAcentral.